GAAUAAAAAAUAUAUAGACAAAAUAAUUGGAAAAAAAAUACGAUAAAGUGAAAUAUCAAUUUAUUUUCAGGAUUAUACUCGUUGGCAAGAAAAAGUAUGUCUUAGAGCCUUAAUGCGACACUAAAGCGCCCGCAAAGCAAGGUGAAGCGCUCAACAUGUUUUGAGCCUCGCUUUAGGGCUUAUGCGCGCCUUUAACAACACUGCUUUAGUAGCAAGAGUGUUGGGAUUUAAGAUCCUUGCACUUUAGUUGCAAGAACAGAAAACAUAUUCUAGGAAAUUCCUAAUCCAGAGAAGCUAACAUAGAGAUGGGAUUUAGAGUAUGUUUUCAUUCGAUAUUUAAUAAGUAUUUUAAUUGUUCAAGUGGACCUUCUUUGUUAAAUCUGUUGACGAGAUUUUAAAAAAGAUUAUGGGAUAGUAAAUCAUCAUUGUUUAGGGUACGCAUCCAUUUGUCUUCUUUUCCUUAUGAUCUGCCUUUGUAAAUUGCUUUAUUCUCUUCUCUUUUUCCUUUUUCUGUUUCUUCGUUAGCCCAAGAAUUAAUGCUAAGAUUCCAAUGAUAACCUAAAAGGUGAAGAUUAUUGGAAUAACAUUGUGCCCAGCAAUUUCAAAAAAAUUAAUUUUAUUGUUUAUUAAUGGAUCCAGCUUAUUUAAACUCACCGUUCAUCAAAUAUUUUGAAAGCUUUUGUUCCUCCUAUUUUCCUAUUUAUCUUACUAUAGAUUCGAAGACUCAAUUAUUGCUCUUCCAACCUUUUCUGUUCCUUAUUUGGUUUUUAAAGUAUUGUUCUUUAACUACUAUCAGACAUUUGAUAAUAUUGAGUUUCUAUGUAUGAUGAGCAGAUCCUUGAGCACAAAAUUUCUUUGCUUGAAGAAAAAUUGCGGAGCUAUAGAAAGAGAUAAAAGAAUGUCAGAUUAGUUGUGAACAUUUGACACAAUGAGAUUUUGAUGCCCAGAUUUUCAGUAAUGCAUAUAGAAGAGCCAUGUACCUAGAGCAGUGGUGAGCACAGUUCCGAGGAUAUCAGUGGCUGUUACACUCGGUGGCUGUUGAACUCAUUCGUACAAAAAGAGAGCAGCCAUCCAGUUUAUAUACUAAUGAGGUACUACAGACUGCAUGGAGUUGCAGCAUAAUAACCAACUCUGAUAAAAAGAUCAUGCUAGCAACAAGUCGAGAUUCGAAGGAACUAAAGUUUUUUUUCCCGUGGGAAGCAGUGUUUCACAGUGUUGCUAGGACCCCAUGGAUAAGAUGUCAUAUUUUCCUCAUCUUUUUGUCCAUUUUCCCUGUUUUCCUAUUUAUCUUAUUGUAAGAUUAAAGGUCUCAAUUGUUGUUAUUCCAAUCUUCUCUGUCAUGUAUAGUGAAAAGUUUGUUAGUUUACCCGAAUCUUUCAUAUUCCUUAUUGGUUGUUCAAGUACUGAUCUUUUAAUAAAUAAUUAUGCUAUUCUUUU
This is a non-coding RNA of Nicotiana tabacum (common tobacco), 1437 nucleotides long. The record is from RefSeq and is a predicted model, not a curated record. Lineage: Eukaryota; Viridiplantae; Streptophyta; Magnoliopsida; Solanales; Solanaceae.